AUCACGGAUUCAAAGCUUCCCGACGUGCAGGCUGGAUACGAGAAGGCCUUUGGGCUGUCCCUGACUGCGCUUGCAGGUUCAAAUUACAUCCAUCACGCUG
Deltaproteobacteria bacterium RBG_16_49_23 is the source of this 100-nucleotide non-coding RNA. The record is from Rfam. Lineage: Bacteria; Deltaproteobacteria.